CUAAAAACUAUGAUGAGAAGAGUAAAUAUAGGAACUUUCUAAAGCGAAUUGGUUAUGGUGAAAGUCCAAUGUAAGUCUAUAUUGAAGAACAUCUCGAAGUUUCUAACCGAAACCACUAUGGAAUUAGGCUUAGAGGUAUUCAACACCUUAAAAUUGAAGGAUAAGGUAUUUAUCUUAUCCUAAGAGCUGGUCAUAUUUAUGACAAAUUGGGUGGUACCGCGAAUUAAGUCUUUCGUCCCUUUA
RNAcentral lists this non-coding RNA (243 nucleotides) under Clostridium kluyveri. Its description in RNAcentral is "T-box sequence". It matches the Rfam family "T-box leader". From Rfam's summary of the family: Uncharged tRNA acts as the effector for transcription antitermination of genes in the T-box leader family. T-boxes are found upstream of many aminoacyl-tRNA synthetase genes and some amino acid biosynthetic genes usually in Gram-positive bacteria. Lineage: Bacteria; Bacillati; Bacillota; Clostridia; Eubacteriales; Clostridiaceae. The record is from RNAcentral.